GUUCGCGGCGGCUUCGCUGUGAUCUCCAAACCGCUGGAAACACCCCAAACGUCCACCAGCAGGGGGGCACAGAUGAACAAGCCGAGGGAAGGUGAUGCCAACCCCGGUGUGAAGGCGGCGGUGUGAGCAGUGGGAUUCCGAUUUCAGCUCUGAGGCAGAGUCCACAGGCCGUGCAGGCGCCCCUUGCAAGCCCCUGUUCGCCCCCAGUGGAGUGGACAUCCUAGACCGGCACGGGACAACGGAUACGACGAAGCCACAGAUAAGGGCACAUGGGUAACUUAAAAUUCCCCAGCAUCCACGUUUUCAAAAGUGGAAAAUAAAUAGAUGCAAUUAA
Panthera uncia (snow leopard) is the source of this 334-nucleotide long non-coding RNA. RefSeq lists it as uncharacterized. The transcript is spliced from 3 exons. Lineage: Eukaryota; Metazoa; Chordata; Mammalia; Carnivora; Felidae. The record is from RefSeq and is a predicted model, not a curated record.